Molecule: ribosomal RNA, 549 nt
Filed under: uncultured Glomus
Lineage: Eukaryota; Fungi; Glomeromycota; Glomeromycetes; Glomerales; Glomeraceae
Description: SSU rRNA
Rfam family: Eukaryotic small subunit ribosomal RNA
Source: RNAcentral
UUGGAGGGCAAGUCUGGUGCCAGCAGCCGCGGUAAUUCCAGCUCCAAUAGCGUAUAUUAAAGUUGUUGCAGUUAAAAAGCUCGUAGUUGAAUUUCGGGGUCAGUAGGUUGGUCGUGCCACCGGUACGUACUGGUCUCACUGAUUCCUCCUUCCUGAUGAGCUGUAAUGCCAUUAAUUUGGUGUUGCAGGGAAUCUGGACUGUUACUUUGAAAAGAUUAGAGUGUUUAAAGCAAGCUAACGCUUGAAUACAUUAGCAUGGAAUAAUGAAAUAGGACGUUCGAUCCUAUUUUGUUGGUUUCUAGGAUUGACGUAAUGAUUAAUAGGGAUAGUUGGGGGCAUUAGUAUUCAAUUGUCAGAGGUGAAAUUCUUGGAUUUAUUGAAGACUAACUACUGCGAAAGCAUUUGCCAAGGAUGUUUUCAUUAAUCAAGAACGAAAGUUAGGGGAUCGAAGACGAUCAGAUACCGUCGUAGUCUUAACCAUAAACUAUGCCGACUAGGGAUCGGAUGAUGUUAAUUUUUUAAUGACUCAUUCGGCGCCUUACGGGAAAA